Molecule: long non-coding RNA, 869 nt
Organism: Prionailurus viverrinus (fishing cat)
Lineage: Eukaryota; Metazoa; Chordata; Mammalia; Carnivora; Felidae
Exons: 4
Source: RefSeq, a predicted model, not a curated record
CUCAUAGAUGCGUGAAGAGUAAGUUGGGAGAGGUGGGGUAAUUCUACACUGGAUGGUCCUGAAGGUUUCUCCAAGGAGGAAGUGAAUGUAAACCCAUGUAGCCCAGCGCCUGGCAGGAGUUAAGAGCACCACAAAUGCUGUUCCAUUAAAAUAUGUAUGUAUACAAUUAUUUAUGUCUGGGACAGCCAGUGGAGUUUGCAAGCUGAUAUUCUGGCGUUAUGAUCAUCUCCCCGGCCCUCUUUUCUUCAGCCUCUAAGCAACGGAGCAAACAGUAAAGCAAAGUACUUGGAGAGAAGGCUUUGUCGUUCUUCAGGAGGCUUCACAGGAAGAGGUUUCCUUCCCGGAUUCUGUGAUAUGCUGUGAUUCCCUGGGUGUAAACAGAAGGGAGUUGAAAUGGACUCAUUCGGUGAUCGUGAAGUGGGUCUUCCACUGUGGCUGCAAGAGCACUCAGGAUAUUGUCUCAUUUGUGAGGAGGGAGAGCCCAGAGGCAGAGAUGCCCAGGGAGACAUUGAGACCCACUCCUCCAGCCCUGUUUUGGUGAACGGCUCCAUUAUUUAGCCCAUAGAGGAGCCAGGAACCAUGGUGUCUGUGUGAGACUCUCUCUCUUGCAUUCAGUAGUGAUUCCUAAGUUAUGGACUGAGAACUCCUCGGAGCAAUGGCUAAGGAAAUAUUGCAAGAGAUCCUUGGAUCUGUUGUCUGCGGAGUGGAUAAGGCCCACGACAGCGUUUUCACCUAUAAGUGGGUCUUCGGCCUUGAGAAGGAAUCUUGGCCAUCACUGAGGUGAAGUACAGUGACGGAUGUGUUGGGGCACCUGGGUGGCUCAGUCCGUUCAGCGUUCCGACUCUUGAUAGUGGCUAUCAUGAUCUCAC